CAAAAACUCAAGUGAGAACUGGAAAGAGGAGACUGGGGAUGAGACGAGAGCCGGCCAUAGAUUCCUGCGCCUCUUUAUUCGGAGAAGACAUAAGAUGAUGGCAAUCGAGUGGUGGUGUUGUAAUUUACGCCAACCAACUAAGACGGUCGGGUUAGUCAACGAAGCUAUGUUCGAAGCAUAGAUCGACGAUGGUGAUGCUAGAUCCCAAAAACGUUUUCGAUCUCUGUGUGUGUUCACCUUCUUCGUUUUCCAUUCUGCAUUGCUUAAACAACGGUGAUUCUACCUCCAUCAGUGACAGCAAUGGCGGUAAACCUGCUCUUGAUUCUUCUAGCGACGAGAAAGCUACUGCAAAAAACAUUGAGUGCUUGAUCAUACACAAUCAUUUUGAGGAAGGAUGGAUGGUGUCUCGACCACCCCUCAAGAGAACUUGGAUGAUGUAUGAGGUUCCUAAUUUUGAAGCCUGACAGUCAUCGUGUUCGAUAGGAUAGGCCAUACAGUCAUCGUGUUCGAGCGUGCUGACCGAAUCAGAGAAUUGAUGAUGUAUGAAGUUCCUAAUUUUGAAGCCUAACAAAAUCGACGUGGUUCAAAGACGGCUACUAAGGUUGAAAAAGUCCGAUUUGAAACGAAAAAUGAACUUGCAAAUGAAAGGGAUGCCAGACAAGAGUUGGAGCAAAUAGUGCAUCAGAUGGAAAAAGAAACGAGAUUAAUUUUAAGUGGCACAUGGCACAGUGCAAACAACAGAAAGGCAGUUGGGAAGGUAGGUAUAUGGUAAUCAAACAUAUGAAAGAGUUUAUCGACUCUGUACAACAUGAUUUGGUUAACCCGACUUUGGAAUGAAGAAGGGUAUUUUGAAGAAUCUCAAAUUGAGAAUUUAGUGGUAGAUUUAAUGUCGGGAUUUAUUAAAAAGAUGUUUUGAUCUUGUAAGCAUUAGUUUGUGUUUCAUAUUCUUGUAAUCCCGUAUACUUGAACGGGUUGUUGGGUUGUUUAAUACUAGUUAACUUUUGUCGUGAGCAUGUGCAUUUGCGUGUAAUUGGAAUUAUAUUGGGAAAUAUUACUAAAAUUUCUGGAAUUUUGCA
This 1076-nucleotide long non-coding RNA is filed under the name Helianthus annuus (common sunflower). Its description in RNAcentral is "sRNA HanXRQr2_Chr16g0775291". The record is from RNAcentral. Lineage: Eukaryota; Viridiplantae; Streptophyta; Magnoliopsida; Asterales; Asteraceae.